UACGAGGGGUGCAAGCGUUGCUCGGAAUCACUGGGCGUAAAGCGCACGUAGGCGGGUCGUUAAGUCGGGGGUGAAAUCCUGGAGCUCAACUCCAGAACUGCCUUCGAUACUGGCGACCUUGAGUACGGAAGAGGCGAGUGGAAUUCCCGGUGUAGCGGUGAAAUGCGCAGAUAUCGGGAGGAACACCAAUGGCGAAGGCGGCUCUCUGGACAGGUACUGACACUGAGACGCGAAAGCGUGGGUAGCAAACAGG
Molecule: ribosomal RNA, 253 nt
Filed under: uncultured bacterium
Lineage: Bacteria
Description: partial 16S ribosomal RNA
Rfam family: Bacterial small subunit ribosomal RNA
Source: RNAcentral